RNAcentral lists this ribosomal RNA (253 nucleotides) under uncultured prokaryote. RNAcentral's name for it is "partial 16S ribosomal RNA". It matches the Rfam family "Bacterial small subunit ribosomal RNA", at positions 525 to 777 of the family's 1533-position model. The record is from RNAcentral.
ACGUAGGUACCGAGCGUUAUCCGGAUUUACUGGGCGUAAAGCGUGUUCAGGCGGCCUGGCAAGUCGGGCAUGAAAUCUCUCGGCUCAACCGGGAGAGGCUGUCCGAUACUGCUGGGCUUGAGGACGGUAGAGGGUGGUGGAAUUCCGCGUGUAGUGGUGAAAUGCGUAGAUAUGCGGAGGAACACCAGUGGCGAAGGCGGCCACCUGGACCGUCCCUGACGCUCAAACACGAAAGCUAGGGUAGCGAACGGGA